UUGAAAUGUCCAGGAUGUCGAUGCUUGCAGCAUCAAAGCCCAAGAAGAAAUGGGUAAGAAUGUGAAACUGCAGAUGAAAACAGUAAGAAUAACAGUCUGUUAUCUUCAGAAUAGAGAUGGCCAGAAUAGCAAGGGCCACAUUAUCUUGAGAAGCAGAAGGAACACGGCCAUGCCAGUAUAAUCCUUGCUUGAACUACUAAACCUCAUCAAGAAAAGGAACAUGCUAGCUACAGCUACUAGUAGUGGGAAGCUGGUUCUCUGGAUACACACAUGCAGCAUUUAAAAAAGUAUUUGCAGGUGCUGUGGGUGCUGCUCAAGUAACAAAUCUCUACAGUCUGAUUUUCUGCGUGCAUCCAGCAGAGCCCUGUGCUGAUGUUGCUGCCAUCACUGCUGUAAUCCUAUGUUAUGAAAGGGUUCUGGUGAUGGACCCCAUGGGACUCCUAACAACAGAAAGUGGCACAGAAGCAAUGGACUCCCAACAACUUCACCACCAGUACUGCUAUGAGCAGAAAUGCAACCUACUAGCCACGUGAGAGAAAAGAGGCAACAAAGAAGCUCUAGCAGGUGACAUGUUACAGUACUAAAGAGGCAAACAGCAGAAGUUGUUAGCACCUACAAAGUCCAGUUUCCUACCAGGGAGAAUGGAGCUCCAGCUCUAGAUGAGCCUAUACCUCUUCAGAUGCUGAACUACUCAGAAGCAGGUAGACAUCAUUACUAAGACACAUCUACACCUGACCCUGCUUGGACUUGGGAAUUGCUGGGGAGCAGGUACAUUUGUAUAUGCCAAAGAAAUCAUGGAGAGCUCGGGAGGUGAGACCCAUAGCAAUCCACCAGCUCUGCAGCCCCUAUGCAAGUACCCUGCAGGUAAGCCUUCCUCCUGCCAGGCCUUCAAGCCAAACAGGAACUUAGUGUUUCUCUAUCUGCUGCUCCUAAAACAAAUACAAGCAGCUGGAGGAGAGGAGAUGACAU
RNAcentral lists this long non-coding RNA (969 nucleotides) under Gallus gallus (chicken). RNAcentral describes it as "long non-coding RNA NONGGAT008477". The record is from RNAcentral. Lineage: Eukaryota; Metazoa; Chordata; Aves; Galliformes; Phasianidae.